CGCGUAGGCGGGAAUGCAAGUCAGAUGUGAAAUCCAAGGGCUCAACCCUUGAACUGCAUUUGAAACUGUAUUUCUUGAGUGUCGGAGAGGUUGACGGAAUUCCUAGUGUAGCGGUGAAAUGCGUAGAUAUUAGGAGGAACACCAGUGGCGAAGGCGGUCAACUGGACGAUAACUGACGCUGAGGCGCGAAAGCGUGGGGAGCAAACA
RNAcentral lists this ribosomal RNA (207 nucleotides) under uncultured bacterium. RNAcentral's name for it is "partial 16S ribosomal RNA". It matches the Rfam family "Bacterial small subunit ribosomal RNA", at positions 568 to 774 of the family's 1533-position model. The record is from RNAcentral.